GACGUAGGGAGCGAGCGUUGUCCGGAUUCAUUGGGCGUAAAGGGUCCGUAGGCGGCUCAGCAAGUCGGGUGUGAAAUCUCCAGGCUCAACCUGGAGGGGCCACUCGAUACUGCUGUGGCUUGAGUCCAGUAGGGGAGCAUGGAAUUCCCGGUGUAGCGGUGAAAUGCGCAGAUAUCGGGAGGAACACCGGUGGCGAAGGCGGGUCUCUGGGCCGAUACUGACGCUGAGGAGCGAAAGCGUGGGGAGCGAACAGG
This 254-nucleotide ribosomal RNA is filed under the name uncultured bacterium. Its description in RNAcentral is "partial 16S ribosomal RNA". It matches the Rfam family "Bacterial small subunit ribosomal RNA", at positions 524 to 776 of the family's 1533-position model. The record is from RNAcentral.